GCCGCGCGCCGGGCCGGUUAAGGCGCGUGAUGACGGACUGGGGGAGCGUUUCCGGAAGCGCUGCCCGGACGGGCUUGUGCAGGACUUCAGGCGCUUCCGCCGCGAGUCGGCACAAUGAAGAGGGAGCAAUAACCGGAAGAGCCGAGGGUGCAAAUUAUUAUAUUGAACAUCAGCUAAAAUGGGAGAUGCUACAAAACCUUGCUUUGCCAAAAGAAAAAAAAGAGGGGAGCUUUAGAUGAAGAGGAAUUGAAGAGGAACCCUUCACAACAGGGCUACCACCCCAGGGAUGAUUAUGGACAUGGCAAAAAGAUAUGGGCUUUCAGAAGAAAAAGGGAACACAAGGUCACUGUGGAAACAGUCCCAGAAAAGGAUCACAUAGUAUUCUGAAUAGCUCAAAUUCUUUAAUAACAUGAAUCAGAACCAAGGGGUAAGAAUAAAUGAUACCCAAAAAGACCAGAUUAAGAAAUGGCUAUCCGAUGACCAUCCUGCUUUUUUUGUUUGCUUCCUUUAAUUGUAAAUGUUAAGUUUCUGAGGCUGUUAAAUCUCUCAUGAUAGCCUCAAUUUUGUGAUAGAUGGAAUCUUGCAACCUGACAUAUGGCUUUCCUUAAAACACCUGCAGGAUUUUCAGGUUGUUUCUUUAUUAUAGUGGCCUUAUUUGUAAAGUAAGAACAGGGAAUGAAAAUGGUUGUCUGACAACAAACAUUUGGCUACCAUUGGGAAAACUAGAACCAACUCUUGUACCUGUAUUGAUUGCCUUCAGGUACUGAGCAAAAGUGAGUCUUUUUUAAUAAAAAAAAACAAACACAAA
Mauremys reevesii (Reeves's turtle) is the source of this 808-nucleotide long non-coding RNA. RefSeq lists it as uncharacterized. The transcript has 2 exons. The record is from RefSeq and is a predicted model, not a curated record. Lineage: Eukaryota; Metazoa; Chordata; Testudines; Geoemydidae.